Camellia sinensis is the source of this 1716-nucleotide non-coding RNA. NCBI's taxonomy places the organism in Eukaryota, Viridiplantae, Streptophyta, Magnoliopsida, Ericales, Theaceae. The record is from RefSeq and is a predicted model, not a curated record.
AUGUUAUUUUUGGGGUCUGGAUUGGAUGAGAUUGUGGUUGAUGAGGAGUGUGAUGUUGUUGAGCUUAGGGAAUGAAAAUUGGGGGUGUUGUUGUGGGUGUUGUUGUGGGUGGUGGUAGAUACGGCGGAGGUGGGUGAUUGACCCGUGGUGGUGGAUAUAGCAGCGGUGGGUGCGUGAUUUCAGAUUUUCUUUUCUUUUCUUUUCUUUUUUUUCUUUUUUUUUUUGUUGAGUGUUGAUGUUGAUAAAUCAUUAAUUGGAGCACAAUCACAUUUUUCUUUUUGCUAUCAUUUUUGCUUCUUGGUUGUUUGAUGUUUUGCAGUGCAUUGGUAUGUUACUUUGCUCCAUAUCAUGGUUAAUUUCAGAUUUCAGAUCCUCAACAAAUAUGACUGGGCUAAGGGCUACAAGUAAUUAUAAGGGAUUUGUUUCUAAAGCCAAUCUUCAUGUAAUGCCUACGAAAAUGCUAGAAACUCAAAACAAGGGAAUGGUGAACUAGCAGGGAUAUUGAAGAAGGAAAUGCUAGAAACUCAAAUGCCUAAGAAACAAGAUUAGUUGAUUUUAUCCCUCAGCAUUGUGAGGUACCUUUGUUUUGGGGUCAGAUUGCUACAAUCUUAAAUAGAGGCGGGCAACAUAUCUUUCUUGACAUACAGCUUGCUAUAUGGUGAAAAUUAUUUUGGAAGCAGGCAUAACUACCUUAAGUUGGAUUUUGCUCCUAGAUUCUCGAUGUAAGGAUGCCUCUGUGUUUGAACAAGAUUAAUACUCAGUUCAAUUACCGAUCUCUAGCUUUAACCAGUCUUUGCCACAAGUUUCCUCAAUUGGGCAGCAGCAAAUAUCACAAUUGCAAAGGCCAUUUCAAUCACCACAAGAGUUACCAUCUUACAUGCAAACACAGACGCCACUCCAGCAACAUGGUCAACUACAAAUUCCUCAGUCUGCGGGUCAAACCCCCAUCAGUUAGGCAUUGAUUGGUUUGGGUGGACAGUUAUUUGUUUCUUAGCCUCAGGCCCAACAGAAUGCCUCAUCUGCACAAGAAACCCCAAUGAAUACUAACUUACGUCCACAUCAUCUGUCCGCCGUAGCAAAUGAACAGCUUCCACUCCAACAAUCAACUUCUCAGUUUGCUCAGAUGCUGUCACAACAGAAGCAAACACUACAUGCAAGCUUUCAAUCAUCUCAGUAGGCUUUCUCUCAGCUUUAAUAACAAUUUCAGUUGAUGCAACCUUCAAAUCAAAAUCUGAUGUCACAUCAGCUUUCUUAGGCUACCAAACAGCAGAAAAAUUUAUGAAGGCAAUGGAAGGGUUGUGCUGGUCAAUUAGUGAGUGUUCCAAGAAAUGGAGAGCGAGCACAAGGGCUUAUAGAACAAGCCCGUAAAGAUGCCACUCAAGUUGUUGCAAAUUUACAAAGACAAGAAGUUCAAUCACAGCUGAUUGCUUGUGAUUACUAGGAGGCAAACAUAGAGCUUUUCCCCCUAUUUCUAUAUAUAUGUCAUAGUUAUAUAUGGUAAUACAAACAUUUUAUACUAGUAACAAUCAAAGUCGUUAUUCCUUUUCUAUUGAUGCAGGAGAUGAAGAGUCAGUGUGAUGAGAAAAUGUCCGAUUUUGUCUUUUGUAAGACAAGAACAGUCUAUACAAAAAUAGUAAGUUUGUUCAUAUGCUUCUAGCGGUUGAUGAAUUAAUUUGUGUUUUUAUUUUUCAGGUCAGAAAUGUCCUGGAGAGAUGC